Molecule: non-coding RNA, 100 nt
Organism: Lentinula guzmanii
Lineage: Eukaryota; Fungi; Basidiomycota; Agaricomycetes; Agaricales; Omphalotaceae
Source: the annotation of a GenBank genome assembly
GGCGCUAUAGCCAAGUGGUUACGGCGACAGAUUAGAACCUUCACAUAAAGUAUCUAUCUGUUCCUCUUUGAGGGCGCAGGUUCAAAUCCUGCUGGCGUCG